This 377-nucleotide ribosomal RNA is filed under the name Dystactula grisea. RNAcentral describes it as "partial 12S ribosomal RNA". The record is from RNAcentral. Lineage: Eukaryota; Metazoa; Arthropoda; Insecta; Mantodea; Chroicopteridae.
AUUAGAUACCCUAUUAUUUUUAAUGUAAAAUUUUAAACUUGAGUAUUAGUAGAUAUGAUCUUGAAACUUAAAGAAUUUGGCGGUAUUAUAAUCUGUUUAGAGGAAUCUGUUAUGUAAUUGAUAAUCCGCAUUGAAUCUUACUUGUAUUAAUUCUUGUAUACCGCUGUUUUGUGAAAAUAUUUUUAGAUAAUUUUCUUAAUAUAAAAUUAAAUAGGAUUUCAAGUCAAGGUGCAGUUAUAUAUAAGGCUAAUAAUGGAUUACAAUAAAAUUUAUUUAUAUGGAUUAUAAUUGUAAAAUAAUUAUGAAGGUGGAUUUAAUUGUAAAUUAAUGAAGAUUUUUUAAUUGACUUUGGCUCUAUAAUAUGUACACAUCGCCCG